UUCCGGUUGAUCCUGCCGGACCUGACUGCUAUCGGAUUGAUACUAAGCCAUGCGAGUCAUUGUAGUAAUACAAGGCAGACGGCUCAGUAACGCGUAGUCAACCUAACCUAUGGACGGGAAUAACCUCGGGAAACUGAGUAUAAUGCCCGAUAGAACAUUAUGCCUGGAAUGGUUUAUGUUCCAAAUGAUUUAUCGCCGUAGGAUGGGACUGCGGCCUAUCAGUUUGUUGGUGAGGUAAUGGCCCACCAAGACUAUUACAGGUACGGGCUCUGAGAGGAGUAGCCCGGAGAUGGGUACUGAGACACGGACCCAGGCCCUAUGGGGCGCAGCAGGCGAGAAAACUUUGCAAUGUGCGAAAGCACGACAAGGUUAAUCCGAGUGGUUUCUGCUAAAGGAACCUUUUGUUAGUCCUAGAAACACUAACGAAUAAGGGGUGGGCAAGUUCUGGUGUCAGCCGCCGCGGUAAAACCAGCACCUCAAGUGGUCAGGAUGAUUAUUGGGCCUAAAGCAUCCGUAGCCGGCUCUGUAAGUUUUCGGUUAAAUCUGUACGCUCAACGUACAGGCUGCCGGGAAUACUGCAGAGCUAGGGAGUGGGAGAGGUAGACGGUACUCGGUAGGAAGGGGUAAAAUCCUUUGAUCUAUUGAUGACCACCUGUGGCGAAGGCGGUCUACCAGAACACGUCCGACGGUGAGGGAUGAAAGCUGGGGGGAGCAAACCGGAUUAGAUACCCGGGUAGUCCCAGCUGUAAACUAUGCAAACUCAGUGAUGCAUUGACUUGUGGUCAAUGCAGUGCUGC
Molecule: ribosomal RNA, 797 nt
Filed under: uncultured archaeon
Lineage: Archaea
Description: bacterial SSU rRNA
Rfam family: Archaeal small subunit ribosomal RNA
Source: RNAcentral